UACGUAGGGUGCGAGCGUUAAUCGGAAUUACUGGGCGUAAAGCGUGCGCAGGCGGUUUUGUAAGCCAGAUGUGAAAUCCCCGGGCUUAACCUGGGAAUGGCAUUUGGGACUGCAAGGCUCGAGUGCGGCAGAGGAGACUGGAAUUCCUGGUGUAGCAGUGAAAUGCGUAGAUAUCAGGAGGAACACCGAUGGCGAAGGCAGGUCUCUGGGCUGACACUGACGCUCAUGCACGAAAGCGUGGGGAGUAAACAGG
Molecule: ribosomal RNA, 253 nt
Filed under: uncultured bacterium
Lineage: Bacteria
Description: partial 16S ribosomal RNA
Rfam family: Bacterial small subunit ribosomal RNA
Source: RNAcentral